RNAcentral lists this ribosomal RNA (434 nucleotides) under uncultured Lachnospiraceae bacterium. RNAcentral's name for it is "partial 16S ribosomal RNA". It matches the Rfam family "Bacterial small subunit ribosomal RNA", at positions 341 to 792 of the family's 1533-position model. The record is from RNAcentral. Lineage: Bacteria; Bacillati; Bacillota; Clostridia; Lachnospirales; Lachnospiraceae.
ACGGAAGGCAGCAGUGGGGAAUAUUGGACAAUGGGGGAAACCCUGAUCCAGCGACGCCGCGUGAGUGAAGAAGUAUUUCGGUAUGUAAAGCUCUAUCAGCAAGGAAGAAAAUGACGGUACUUGACUAAGAAGCUCCGGCUAAAUACGUGCCAGCAGCCGCGGUAAUACGUAUGGAGCAAGCGUUAUCCGGAUUUACUGGGUGUAACGGGAGCGUAGACGGCAAAGCAAGUCUGAAGUGAAAUCCCGGGGCUCAACCCCGGAACUGCUUUGGAAACUGUUUAGCUAGAGUGCAGGAGAGGUAAGCGGAAUUCCUAGUGUAGCGGUGAAAUGCGUAGAUAUUAGGAGGAACACCAGUGGCGAAGGCGGCUUACUGGACUGUAACUGACGUUGAGGCUCGAAAGCGUGGGGAGCAAACAGGAUUAGAUACCCUGGUA